GACGAACGCUGGCGGCGUGCCUAAUACAUGCAAGUUGAGCGCUGAAGGUUGGUACUUGUACCAACUGGAUGAGCAGCGAACGGGUGAGUAACGCGUGGGUAAUCUGCCUUUGAGCGGGGGACAACAUUUGGAAACGAAUGCUAAUACCGCAUAAAAACUUUAAACACAAGUUUUAAGUUUGAAAGAUGCAAUUGCAUCACUCAAAGAUGAUCCCGCGUUGUAUUAGCUAGUUGGGGAGGUAAAGGCUCACCAAGGCGAUGAUACAUAGCCGACCUGAGAGGGGGAACGGCCACAUUGGGACUGGGACACGGCCCAAACUCCUACGGGAGGCAGCAGUAGGGAAUCUUCGGCCAUGGACGAAAGUCUGACCGAGCAACGCCGCGUGAGUGAAGAAGGUUUUCGGAUCGUAAAACUCUGUUGGUAGAGAAGAACGUUGGUGAGAGUGGAAAGCUCAUCAAGUGACGGUAACUACCCAGAAAGGGACGGCUAACUACGUG
Molecule: ribosomal RNA, 497 nt
Filed under: uncultured bacterium
Lineage: Bacteria
Description: partial 16S ribosomal RNA
Rfam family: Bacterial small subunit ribosomal RNA
Source: RNAcentral